CUCCAUUUGAAGACUCAGUUAAAAGGUGCCAUCUAUAAAGUGGAGUGUGGGCGCUCACCGAACACUGAAUCUGCUGGUGCCUUGAUCUUGAACUUCCCAUCCUCCAGAACUGUGAGCAAUACAUUUCUGUUGUUUGUAAAUCAUCCAGUCUAAGGCUUUUUUUUUUUUUUUUUGAGAUGGAGUCUCGCUCUUUCUCCCAGGCUGGAGUGCAGUGGCACGAUCUCGGCUCACUGCAAGCUUUGCCUCCCGGGUUCAUGCCAUUCUCCUGUCUCAGCCUCCCAAGUAGCUGGGACUACAGGCACCUGCCACUACGCCUGGCUAAUUUUUUGUAUUUUUAGUAGAGACGGGAUUUCACCAUCUCUAGCCAGUAUGGUCUCGAUCUCCUGACCUCGUGAUCCACCCACCUCGGCCUCCCAAAGUGCUGGGAUUACAGGCGUGAGCCACUGUGCCCAACACAGUCUAAGGCAUUUUUAUAGCAGCCCAAACGAUCUAAGAUAUCAUCCAGACACUUUCAUUUCCUCUAUGCAUCAUGAGUUGAAAAAAAAUGGUAUAAUAUACCUGCUAAGGAAGUAGUAUGUAAUCAAUAGAGGAAAGUAAUCAAAUAACAACUAUGAACUCUGGACAAAACACAGUAAAGUAUCUGAAAGCACUCGAGAAUUAACAUCAACAGAUUCUAGAGGGAAGUUGACACUUGGGAGAAACAAAAGGCACUGAAUGUGUUUCUUAUUUUAAUUCCUUCUCCUCCUGCUUCUCUCCUCUUCCCAACACCCUCCUUCUCCCUCUCUUCCUCCUCUGCAUAUUCCUCUUCCUCGUUCUUCUCCUCCUCUUCUUCCCCUUCUUCUUCUAAUUAAUAACAGUUUUUAUACUUUGGGCAAGUGGCAGGCAGAGCCAGGCAGGUCAGGUGAAGGUCUAACACAAAACCCACAGGUUUUCAGGCCUAAAAACCAGAGGACAGAGUUGGGGAAAAUACCAUUUCUGGAAAGUCAGGUAGGGAUUGGGGGGAUCCCAGAAAGAAGAGAGCCAGAGAAGAGGAGAUGCAAAUUCUUUGUUUAAACUUUUUUUCCCCAGAUCUCUGACUGACACAUGAACAAUGCAUGCUUAGGGCAGACUUCAAGACUAGAAAAUAAAACGACUGAACUGAGCUUUAAAUUGACAUCUGAAAGAGAGCCUUUGCAGGUGGACUCUAACAAAUGACAAAGCCUGCACAAACAAAACAAACUACUAACUUUCUUUUAGAGAAACAUAAAUCCAGAGCCUCUGCAAUAUAACUUGCAUAAUGUAUGGGAAACAAUCCAAAACCACUUGACAAAAGAAGAUAUGAGAAAAUGUAAAUGGAGAUUGAUGCCAACGUGAUUGAGCCAGAUACUGGAAGUAGCUGACAAGCAUUUUAAAGCAGCUCCACAAACUGCGUUUAAGAAAGUAAAAGGAAAUAUGCUCAUAGUGAAUUAAAA
RNAcentral lists this long non-coding RNA (1451 nucleotides) under Homo sapiens (human). RNAcentral's name for it is "HSALNT0213648". The record is from RNAcentral. Lineage: Eukaryota; Metazoa; Chordata; Mammalia; Primates; Hominidae.